This 357-nucleotide unclassified non-coding RNA is filed under the name soil metagenome. RNAcentral's name for it is "partial contains 5.8S ribosomal RNA, internal transcribed spacer 2, and large subunit ribosomal RNA". The stretch from base 1 to 120 matches the Rfam family "5.8S ribosomal RNA", at positions 35 to 154 of the family's 154-position model. The record is from RNAcentral.
GAUGGAGAACGUAGCGAAAUGCGAUAAGUAAUGUGAAUUGCAGAAUUCAGUGAAUCAUCGAAUCUUUGAACGCACAUUGCGCCCGCUGGUAUUCCGGCGGGCAUGCCUGUUCGAGCGUCAUUUCAACCCUCAAGCUCUCCGGAGUUUGGUGUUGGGGCGCCUGGGGCUUUUCGACCUCAGGGCCCUCAAGUCCAUCGGCGGGACCGCCAGGACACUGAGCGCAGUAGUAUUAUUUCGCUCGGUAGGAUCUUCCACGGCGGGUCGAUCUGGCCGCUAAACCCCCCAAUUCUCACCAAAGGUUGACCUCGGAUCAGGUAGGAAUACCCGCUGAACUUAAGCAUAUCAAUAAGCGGAGGA